This 332-nucleotide unclassified non-coding RNA is filed under the name soil metagenome. RNAcentral describes it as "partial contains 5.8S ribosomal RNA, internal transcribed spacer 2, and large subunit ribosomal RNA". The stretch from base 1 to 120 matches the Rfam family "5.8S ribosomal RNA", at positions 35 to 154 of the family's 154-position model. The record is from RNAcentral.
GAUGAAGAACGUAGCAAAAUGCGAUAAGUAAUGUGAAUUGCAGAAUUCAGUGAAUCAUCGAAUCUUUGAACGCACAUUGCGCCCGCCAGUAUUCUGGCGGGCAUGCCUGUUCGAGCGUCAUUUCAACCCUCAAGCACAGCUUGGUGUUGGGACUCGCGUUAAUUCGCGUUCCCCAAAUUGAUUGGCGGUCACGUCGAGCUUCCAUAGCGUAGUAGUAAAACCCUCGAUACUGGUAAUCGUCGCGGCCACGCCGUUAAACCCCAACUUCUGAAUGUUGACCUCGGAUCAGGUAGGAAUACCCGCUGAACUUAAGCAUAUCAAUAAGCGGAGGA